GCUCAGCAUGGAAAUUGGGGCCCUCGGCCUUGAAUUGUAGUCUCGAGAUGUAUCGCCAACGGAGGCGCAGAUGUAAGCCUCUUGGAAAGGAGCAUCAACGAGGGUGAGAGUCCCGUUUGUCAUCUGCAGUCCCCCGUGCACGGCAUACCUUCUAAGAGUCGCGUUCCUCGGAAUUGGAGCGUAAAUUGGGUGGUAAAUUUCAUCUCAAGCUAAAUAUUGGUUCGAGACCGAUAGCAAACAAGUACCAUGAGGGAAAGAUGAAAAGGACUUUGAAAAGAGAGUUAAAAGUGCCUGAAAUUGCUGAAAGGGAAGCGAAUGGAACCAGUGUUGCUUGGCAAGAUUGUCGGGUGCAUGACGCGCUUGAUCGUCUCUUGCCUUGUGUGUCAACGCCAGUUCGCGAUCGAGGAAAACUCCAGGGUCAUGGUAGCUCGUCUACGGGUGAGUGAAUAGCCUUGGCAGAACUCAUUUGC
RNAcentral lists this ribosomal RNA (470 nucleotides) under Prorocentrum cordatum. RNAcentral's name for it is "partial large subunit ribosomal RNA". It matches the Rfam family "Eukaryotic large subunit ribosomal RNA", at positions 107 to 582 of the family's 3401-position model. The record is from RNAcentral. Lineage: Eukaryota; Dinophyceae; Prorocentrales; Prorocentraceae.